Molecule: long non-coding RNA, 1004 nt
Organism: Neofelis nebulosa (Clouded leopard)
Lineage: Eukaryota; Metazoa; Chordata; Mammalia; Carnivora; Felidae
Exons: 2
Source: RefSeq, a predicted model, not a curated record
UCAGCUCCUGCACUCUAAGGCCAAGGGUCUCAGUGCCAGGAGUCCCACCCGACCUGCCUUGACCCCGACCCUGUCCCCCCACUCCGGCUCACCGGGCCCACAUCCGCCCCAGGACCUUGGCGUUCUGGAUGCUCCCCCUGCCUGGCUCCCUGCAGCGUCCACCAGGCCACGGUCCCCCAUGGUCAAGUGGUGACGUGAGCACACAGGGCUGCCCAUUGCCCGCCCCUCUGCUCCCCUCUCUACUUUCCUUCCCUGGUGGGUGGCAUCAUUUCCUUCUGAGGCGCGGUUCGUCCUGUUAUUUCUCUAACUGCUUUUCUUCUCUCUUCCCCCGAAGGCCCGAGGCUGCCUGGGCUCUCACGGUUGGCCAGAUGAAGGGGUCCCGCGGCUGUCCCCAGAUGGGUGCAUCCAGGGAGGUGGCCGGACAGGCACCUGGGCCUCCGUCCCCAGCUUCGCUUGCCCAGGGGCCACGGGAGCCCCGCAGCCACGCUCAGUGGUCUUCGUGGCAGGAAGUGCCAGGCAGUUCCGGUGAACAGGGGACAGGGGACACGUAAAUCACAGGACACGUGUCCAUCCGCUGCUUGUGUCAUCGGUCAGGCUUCCUGGCAGCAGGACACUGCGAGGAGCGAAGUUUUCAGAAGCCAAAAGUUGCUCGCGGGAUCUCUACUGCAGGGUCUGUGCACAAGGGCCGAGGGUCACCUGGAUAAGUGUGCACAUGCGUGAGUGACACACGCACCCUCACUGCCUCACUGCUUGAAAUUAUACUGUCUGUGCACGAUUUUUAUUUUCCUUUUAUUAAAUUAAAAAAAUUUUAAACUGAAUGUACAGUUUCACUCAUUUCAUUUUUUUCACCUUCUAUUAAAUUUUUCUUUCCGAUGCCACGUUUGAUGUGGAACACGAGAAGUACUCAGUGUGUUGGGUGUACCUUCCGUGAUUAUAGCAAAUUUCCCGAAUGUGGCUCAUCCCCGCAGUGUCCAUUUUCCCCGAAAUAAAUGUAUUUGUACGUA